AGUCGAGCGAGGUAGCAAUACCUAGCGGCAGACGGGUGCGUAACAUGUGGGAAUCUGCCUUUUGGUUCGGAAUAACACGAGGAAACUUGUGCUAAUACCGGAUAAGCCCUUACGGGGAAAGUUUUAAUGCCAAAAGAUGAGCCCGCACUUGAUUAGUUAGUUGGUAGGGUAAUGGCCUACCAAGACUGUGAUCAAUAGCUGAUUUGAGAGGAUGAUCAGCCACAUUGGGACUGAGACACGGCCCAAACUCC
RNAcentral lists this ribosomal RNA (251 nucleotides) under uncultured Candidatus Pelagibacter sp. Its description in RNAcentral is "partial 16S ribosomal RNA". It matches the Rfam family "Bacterial small subunit ribosomal RNA", at positions 60 to 339 of the family's 1533-position model. Lineage: Bacteria; Pseudomonadati; Pseudomonadota; Alphaproteobacteria; Candidatus Pelagibacterales; Candidatus Pelagibacteraceae. The record is from RNAcentral.